UUGGACCUGAUAUCAGGCAAGAUUACCCGCUGAACUUAAGCAUAUCAU
Molecule: ribosomal RNA, 48 nt
Filed under: Phytophthora capsici
Lineage: Eukaryota; Oomycota; Peronosporomycetes; Peronosporales; Peronosporaceae
Description: partial 28S ribosomal RNA
Source: RNAcentral